Candoia aspera is the source of this 110-nucleotide small nuclear RNA. NCBI's taxonomy places the organism in Eukaryota, Metazoa, Chordata, Lepidosauria, Squamata, Candoiidae. The record is from RefSeq and is a predicted model, not a curated record.
AUUCUGCUUGCAUUGGCAGAAUGUAUACUCAAAUUGAAAUGAUACAGAGAAGAUUAGCAUAACCCUUCUGCAAGGAUGAAAUUCAAAUCUGUGAAGCCUGUCUGUCUGUC